Molecule: ribosomal RNA, 377 nt
Filed under: uncultured bacterium
Lineage: Bacteria
Description: bacterial SSU rRNA
Rfam family: Bacterial small subunit ribosomal RNA
Source: RNAcentral
UAAGACAGAGGGUGCAAACGUUGUUCGGAAUUACUGGGCGUAAAGCGCGUGUAGGCGGUCUCGCAAGUCGGGUGUGAAAGCCCAGGGCUCAACCCUGGAAGUGCAUUCGAUACUGCGAGGCUAGAGUCCCGGAGAGGAUGGUGGAACUCUCGGUGUAGAGGUGAAAUUCGUAGAUAUCGAGAAGAACACCGGUGGCGAAGGCGGCCAUCUGGACGGUGACUGACGCUGAGACGCGAAAGCGUGGGGAGCAAACAGGAUUAGAUACCCUGGUAGUCCACGCCGUAAACGAUGGGUGCUAGGUGUCACGGGUAUUGACCCCUGUGGUGCCGAAGCUAACGCAUUAAGCACCCCGCCUGGGAAGUACGGCCGCAAGGCUA